UUUUGGCUCAGAAAUGUUCACAGUUGUCUUCAUCUGAAAUGAGUCAAUCAACUGUAUACCAUCACCGCAUGUACUACAAAUCUCGAUCAAAGCUAGAUUAACCUCUCAUAUGGUUUUUGCCAAUUGUCAUUUUUGAAGGCUAUGACAGUUUAUGCCAUCAUCCAGUGUUACUAUUUGGAGAAGAUUGCUGAUCAAAAUAAUAGGUACCUUGCAGUUUUCUUUGUAGUAUAUUAUUAAAUUUAUUUAAAAACUGCAAAAAUUACCCAAUUUCUUUACCAAUUAUAAAAAUCGUUCUUCUUCUU
Pyrus x bretschneideri (Chinese white pear) is the source of this 302-nucleotide long non-coding RNA. RefSeq lists it as uncharacterized. NCBI's taxonomy places the organism in Eukaryota, Viridiplantae, Streptophyta, Magnoliopsida, Rosales, Rosaceae. The record is from RefSeq and is a predicted model, not a curated record. The transcript is spliced from 2 exons.